This 458-nucleotide ribosomal RNA is filed under the name uncultured bacterium. RNAcentral describes it as "partial 16S ribosomal RNA". It matches the Rfam family "Bacterial small subunit ribosomal RNA", at positions 338 to 795 of the family's 1533-position model. The record is from RNAcentral.
CCUACGGGUGACAGCAGUGAGGAAUAUUGGUCAAUGGGUGAGAGCCUGAACCAGCCAAGUCGCGUGAGGGAGUACUGCCCUAUGGGUUGUAAACCUCUUUUGUCGGGGAGCAAAAGCCGGACGUGUCCGGCUGUGAGAGUACCCGAAGAAAAAGCAUCGGCUACCUCCGUGCCAGCAGCCGCGGUAAUACGGAGGAUGCGAGCGUUAUCCGGAUUUAUUGGGUUUAAAGGGUGCGCAGGCGGAUUUUUAAGUCAGCGGUAAAAUCGUGGGGCUCAACCCCAUCCAGCCGUUGAAACUGGGGAUCUAGAGUGUGCGAGAGGUAUGCGGAAUGCGUGGUGUAGGGGUGAAAUGCAUAGAUAUCACGCAGAACACCGAUUGCGAAGGCAGCAUACCGGUGCACAACUGACGCUCAGGCACGAAAGCGUGGGUAUCGAACAGGAUUAGAUACCCUUGUAGUC